UUUCGCAAUGCCCGAAAGGGUGACGAAGCGACGCCGCGUGAGUGAGGAAGGCCUUCGGGUUGUAAAGCUCUGUCAGGAGUUAAGAAAUAUAAGUGUGCUAAUACCACAUUUAUUUGACGAAGGCUCCAAAGGAAGCCACGGCUAACUCUGUGCCAGCAGCCGCGGUAAUACAGAGGUGGCAAGCGUUGUUCGGUAUUAUUGGGCGUAAAGAGCACGUAGGUGGUUUUGUAAGUCAGGUGUGAAAGCCUUCUGUUCAAAGGAAGAACGGCAUCUGAAACUGCAGAUCUUGAGUGUAGGAGGGGAGAGUGGAACUUCUGGUGGAGCGGUGAAAUGCGUAGAUAUCAGAAGGAACGUCGGCGGCGAAAGCGACUCUCUGGCCUAUUACUGACACUCAGUGUGCGAAAGCUAGGGGAGCAAACGGGAUUAGAUACCCCGGUAGUCCUAGCCGUAAACGAUGGGCACUAAGUAGAGGGGUUUUA
This 479-nucleotide ribosomal RNA is filed under the name uncultured anaerobic ammonium-oxidizing bacterium. Its description in RNAcentral is "bacterial SSU rRNA". It matches the Rfam family "Bacterial small subunit ribosomal RNA", at positions 364 to 833 of the family's 1533-position model. The record is from RNAcentral.